GAUGAACGCUGGCGGCGUGCCUAAUACAUGCAAGUCGAGCGAACAGACGAGGAGCUUGCUCCUCUGACGUUAGCGGCGGACGGGUGAGUAACACGUGGAUAACCUACCUAUAAGACUGGGAUAACUUCGGGAAACCGGAGCUAAUACCGGAUAAUAUAUUGAACCGCAUGGUUCAAUAGUGAAAGACGGUUUUGCUGUCACUUAUAGAUGGAUCCGCGCCGCAUUAGCUAGUUGGUAAGGUAACGGCUUACCAAGGCAACGAUGCGUAGCCGACCUGACAGGGUGAUCGGCCACACUGGAACUGAGACACGGUCCAGAUUCCUACGGGAGGCAGCAGUAGGGAAUCUUCCGCAAUGGGCGAAAGCCUGACGGAGCAACGCCGCGUGAGUGAUGAAGGUCUUCGGAUCGUAAAACUCUGUUAUUAGGGAAGAACAAAUGUGUAAGUAACUAUGCACGUCUUGACGGUACCUAAUCAGAAAGCCACGGCUAACUACGUG
This 497-nucleotide ribosomal RNA is filed under the name uncultured bacterium. RNAcentral's name for it is "partial 16S ribosomal RNA". It matches the Rfam family "Bacterial small subunit ribosomal RNA", at positions 28 to 507 of the family's 1533-position model. The record is from RNAcentral.